AGGAGGCAGAACUAGAGUCAGCCAUUUGCAAAAUGUACAAAGGCUAAGAACUAAAAUACAAGGAAAUUAAAGGUAGGUUGGGCGUUAGUUGACACUUUGGGUUUUUGUUGCUGCCGUUGUUGCUGUAACUUUAAAAACAGGCAUUAAUUUGCAUAAUUACAUUUUGCAGCUGCUGGAGCUGCAAGUCCAUAAUGCAGGGUGUGCUUUGGGGCAUUAUUUUAUGCACUGCAAACGGACCCAGAGACACUGAGCUGUGCUAUCAGCUGCUUCUCCUUGUGCGGUAACUGCUGUUGCUGUGUAUAUAUUGGUAAGCUUGGUUAGACCAUCCUAAAUGAGCCUAAGCUUGGGGUCACUAUAAUGCACAUUAGCCUAGCAGACUGUGCAAGCUGUCUACGUUUCUGUCCCUGCUGGAACAGCAAUUCAUAGGCUUCUUUGCAAGGGCUUGUGUUUGGCUCAAUCCCCUCGUCCUUGUUGCUGGAAAGGGAACUUUGGAGCAGGUGGCUGGGGGCCUCUGACAGUGGGGAGGGUGGGCGGACGCUGCUGGGGGCGUUGCGUGUAUCAGGUGGCUGGGAUCUGUUCUGCACGUGGAAGUAGCGACCGCCCGUUUCUUCCACUUGCCCUCCGAGCGAUUGCUAGGGAUUGCUCUGAUUUCACAAGCCUUCUCUUUGUCUUUCCUUGCCCCGUCCCUGUCUAGGACUCCUGUGGAUGCCUCUGGGUGUAGCCUGCCUUUGGUGAUGCCCCAGUUCACCUUCGCUUGCUUUUGUGGACUUCAUGGCUUCUGCAAGAUGAAGAGGAAAAAAGACGAGCCCAGCGCAGAGCAGGAGACGUCUGUGUGAGCGGAAGGGAAACCUCGCCCUGCGUGUAUCACGCUCGUCCCGGUGCCGCACCACAGGAGCCCAGCUCUGGCUUUCCCUUGAGACUCGCCUGGCGAGGAAAAUGCCGAAGCUCAGACUUGACCUUACAGAAGAGACGCACGCAGGCGUUAUCCUGGGCGGCGUGCUGGUUCCACGCGGCCUGAGUGCCCACGGCUGUGCCGGGAAGGGGGAACGGCUGCCCCCGUGCUGGGCUCACGAGCGCGCUGCCCUCGGCCCACUCUAGUAAGUCCUCGUGGACACUUCCUGGAGCAGACUUUAAAAUCAAGGACCAAAUCUUGCCCUUGGCUCCCCCCAGUGUAACUGUAGAGCAGGAUUGGGCUCCUGGUUUUAAAUCGCUUCUCUGCUGACAGGACAAACAAGCUGCCUUUCCCCCCCACUUUUAUUUUAGAAACCCUCAAGCAAACGUCUGUGUCCAUGAGCACCCGUCCCCCGCGUCUCUGGGACGUCGCAUGCUCCAGCCGCCCGCGCUGAGCAGCCGUCCGGAGGUGCGAGGGCACCAGGCUCUGAUUCUGCUCCCUCCAACUGUGCCAAUCUGGAGUUUCUCCGAUGAAAUCUGUGGAGCAAGCCCGGUGUGGGACUCGCGCCCCUCCUGGGUGUAUGCUCGUGGUUGUGCUGGAUUUGCCCGUGGCCCUCUUUCUGUAAUGGGCCAAAGCCCAAAUCCCUGAAUGCUGCAGGGCAGGGAGUUUGGAACCGGCCCCGGCUCCAAGCUCGGGAGCUCACGCUUGUCUCUAGCACGCGCGUGUGUUCUCCAAAGCAGCGGCUUUCGGGUUUUUCCCCUUUCCCAGCCUGGAGCCUUCUUCCAACCCGGCUGGGAUCUGGAUGGGGCCCUCUUCCUGUUUAGUGACAUGGAAAAGGCAAGGAUGGCCGUGCCCUCCUGGGGCCUGUUCCCCGUCGCCUCCAGGAUCAGAGCCCCCAGGGAGAGAGCCUGUGCUCUGCCGGGAUUGGUGUGGGGGGUGGUCUGGUCCAAAGCAUGAAGCUUCGUUCCUGGCAUGGCCUCAUCCUCUCCAGGGAUAGCCAUUAGCUCAGCAGUGCUGCUGUGUCAAAGAUUGCCCUUUUCCCCCUCCCUGCCUGUCUGGACAUCCUUCCUACUUACUCUUGAAGCCAUAUGGAAACUCCCUGGGUGUCGUGCCUUUCAGGAAGCGUUGCAGACAGACUCCUUUCCCCGCCCCACCGAAACGAGCCCCUGUGCUAGGUGCUCCCAGAAAGCAGGACUACUCCCUCCUCCUUGAGUCAAGGCCCUUGACGUCAAUGGGAUCGUUCCCUUCAAUCCCAGUGAGCUCUAAAUCGGGCCUUUGGACCUCCUGCCGUCCGACAGUAAUGCUGGAGAUGGGCUUGUUCCCACCCCCACUACUCCAACCCCCUUCUGGCCCU
Molecule: long non-coding RNA, 2246 nt
Organism: Gavialis gangeticus (Gharial)
Lineage: Eukaryota; Metazoa; Chordata; Crocodylia; Gavialidae
Exons: 2
Source: RefSeq, a predicted model, not a curated record